GGUUAUUAUCUUCUUAACACUAAAGAUCAUUUAUCCCGGAGAGGAAGAAUGGGAGCAAAAUGUAAGUUCUAUCCUGUUUGUGCUUUUGUAGCAAAAUGUAAGUUCUAUCCUAUUUGUUUCGUUUCUGCACUGUGUGCAGAAUCUAGUCUACAUCUACACUACUAUUAAAAAAGCAAACAUUACUUAUCCUAAACCCACGCGGAUUAAUGUACACAGGACAAUCAGUACCCUAGGAUCUAUUCCACUUAACGGCAUCUAAGGGUCAGUUUCGCCUCCAUGGUCUGCCAACCAAUUGGAUGGCCCAGAUUCGAUGUUCUGCCACCGUACGUCCUGCCCCGCGCACGUCCGUCUUCAACCCAACCGCCCCUCGCAUCCCUUCAUUCUCGCAGGCGCAUGCGGGAGUUGUUGCCGCCGCCGAGCACUUGGGCUCCGCCGUCCUACCGCCAGACGUGGACGCACGCGGCCGUCGCCGUCGCCGCCGCCGGGCACGUGGCCUCCGUCGCCCCGCCAUCUGGCGUGGAAGCACGCAGCCAUGGUUGUCGCCGCCGCCGUCCGAUGUGGACUCUGGCCGUCGCCGCCACCGGGCACGUGGCCUCCGCCGCCCAACCUGGACACACGUGGUCGUGGCCGUUGCCGCCACGGCGGGCCUGGCCUCCGCCGGCCUGCUGCCCGGCGUGGACGCACGCGGCCGUGGCCUCCGUCGCCCAGCCGCCGGGGACGUGUACGCACGCGGGCGUGGCCGCUGUCAGGGACAUUGGCGCACACGGUAGAGAAAAGCUCCACCGCAACCUCUGUCGUAAGAAUAAGAUUAUUUCUCCUAUCUCUAAUCUACUUGCAAUCUGACAUCCAUUGCCAAUUUGGCUUUCUGGAAAUUCGGUGGCACAUGAAUUCUAAUUCUAAUUUGAACAUGGAGCACUAUUUUUUUUUCUUGUGAUAACCACCAAGCACGAACAUGCAGUGCAUGUAUAGCUCUUGCCGAGUGAAAUUUUUAUAUCAUAUUCCGUUGUCAAUUUACCCUUUGUUUGAGGACAAUAGGCUGUUCUCACAUUAGCAUACAUCUAAACUUCUAGAUUCAUUUUUAAUACAUGGUCGUUUGAAGCACCCAUUUUUGUACUGUUUUGUGUGUGUAUGUAUGGUUUUUUUUUCCUUCUUCUGAAAGAAUCAUAUAUGCUUCGAGUUGGACUGAUGGGCAAUGCUAGAAAUCACUUGGAAGUUACAGGUGUGUUGGUGCAGAUUGCUUAAAAAAACUUUCAUGUAUCACUUUAUUGUAACUCUGACAUUUAAUUUGUGUUCAAUUAUCUGUAGUACAACCUAACUAUUUGAUCUUCGGGAUGCUAAUUUGUGCACACACAGAAUAAAAACCGGUAGCGAUGACAAUGUUUCCUGUCAAGAUCAAUACCUGCUACAUAUGCAUUGUUUCCUGUGAUGAUCAAUUCCUGCUACACCUACACUAGAUCCUGUGAUGCAUUGCGAGGCCUGGAACGACUUUAAUUUUGAAUAUAUUUUUAGUUUCGGAGCUGUUUAGUCCAGCAAUGAAACACAGGUCAUUAUCCAGUCUACUCGCACGAUUGGCACACACAGCCACCGCCGACCAUCGUUAUCCGGCCAUAAUCCCGACGUCCUCCUCGCAUCACCCUGCUGUGUGCCCCUGGCCGAUUGCCUUGAUACGCCAUCCAAGCGCGCGUGGCCACAAAAGCUCUUCAUCAUGGUAAGGCGCAGGUACACGACGACAAGCUGCAGAACAACGAGCAGCUCGACAGUGGAGUACCGACGCGAUACUUGUCAUGGGGAAUCGGGAAGGUACAGUGUUGGGUACAUAAUUUUGCUUGGUCGUCACUUUUCUUUCAAAGUAUGUUCGCUGCAGAAUGAUUCUCGAUAGCUCUUCCUCUCAUGUAUGUUUUCUUUUCAGCAUAAUCAUAGCCCACUGUGUUGUAUAUUCUUUUCUCCAAUGAGGGUCAGCUGCAUGACCAAUUGAUUUCUCCCUUCUAUCUGAUUGCCAAUCUGGUGAAGACUUUCCGAUAAUUUGUAUGUCUUUUUGGACUGGUCAUUACUUUCUGAAAUCUUUAUAGGAUAUUUGAUGCCAUUUUUACUAUACAACAGACUAAAUAGGCUACGCCCUUACAUUCUCCGUGGAGAAGUUGUCCACCCAGUUGAUUGCCAUUUAUUUGUGACAUUUUUUGUACAGUUAUGAUUUAUGUGGUGUGUUUGGUAUCGUAAAAAGAUGAUUGAUGGAUUUGUACUUCUCCUUUUGUUUAUAGAGAAUGGGCCAUCCUAGCGUAUGAAUUCAUAAUUCUAUACCCGCAUGAAUUUGACAUGGUUUGAUUGAGGCGUGCGUUGCACGUGCACGCUUACUAGUGUUGUUAAAUAGGACGGGUUUGACAUUUAAAAUAAAAUAAAAUAGGACGGGUUUAAUUUACUGCUGCCAGUGAGAACAAUGAAUAUUGUGCCUCUGAUCAUUAGCGUUUUGAUGAAUAACAUCCCAACCGUUUUGGCAGUACCGCUAAAGGUUGUGCGUUUUGGCUUGGAAACUAACCUGAAUAGCCAUGGACUUUUUUUCUUUGCUAUUGUCCUGAUCCCUGC
Molecule: long non-coding RNA, 2580 nt
Filed under: Triticum aestivum (bread wheat)
Lineage: Eukaryota; Viridiplantae; Streptophyta; Magnoliopsida; Poales; Poaceae
Description: long non-coding RNA (TAES_LNC019514)
Source: RNAcentral